UCCCUCCUCCAGCCACGUAGGCAUCAGCCACCAUCCUGGAAACUGCACAGUGCCCGGAUUCCGACCUCAGCUGCUCUACUUCCUUCUCCAAACUAGCCCCCCUCCUUCAGCCUUUCUCUGCACCAAGAGAAAGCUUCUUCUCAAACUCCCACUCCUGAACGAACACACACACUUUCUCUGUCUCUGUCUGUCUGUCUCUGUCUCUGUCCCUGUCUCUCUCUGUCUGUCUCUGUCCCUGUCUCUCUCUGUCUCUGUCUCUCUGUCUCUGUCUCUGUCUUUGUGAGUGUGCGUGUGGGUUCGUGCGUGUGAGUGCGUGUAUGUAUGUAUGUAUGUAUGUAUGUAUGUAUGUAUGUAUGUAUGUAUGUAUGUGUGGCUGGUUUGGGGCUCCUCAUCUGCUUUUCGUAUCUAAGAGGCUGCAUUCAUUCACCUAGACCCGCUUAAAAGAAAACAAAUAAAACACUGCGGAGCCCUUCCUUCAUAUUCGGUCUACUCCCACUCCUCUUCAUUCCACUUUGACUCCUCUCCUCCUUGCCCCGCUCUCUCCUGAUCCUCCCUCUGCGGCCAUCGCAAGUCCUGGCCACCGUUUCGAUGGUACCCACUCAGGAGUCCGUUAUACGCCCUCCACGAGUCCAACCCCGAGUCCAGGCGGCGAGCAUCCCGCCCUCUCCUGGUCAGCUCCAAGAUUCUGGACGCCCCUCACACGUUCAUCUCCCCACGUUUCUGCCAACCCACCGUAUGAAGAAGGAUCUUCGAAACACUCCGUGGAAGAGGGUGACUCCGGGUGUGGGACACCAAUUCUGGCACCAAAACUUUUCUACCCAGAAAGUGAGCACCCGGACGCAUUUAGGGGAGAUGAGGAUUGAGCGCCUUUACUAAUUUGAACAAGGAUCCUUCCCACUUCAAACUAACACACUCAAGUGCCCCAUGCUCCACCUCAGGAUCAGUCUCUCCUAAGCCCAUUUCUCCUGCCUGCAUGUUGGGCUGUCUCUUUCUGUAUCUCUUCCUCCUGCCCUUUCUCCAUUUUGUCCUCUGUGAGCCAUUCUCCCUCGCCCAAGCCACUGACCCAUUUGCCACCGCAGUCGCUGAACACCAAGGUUUCCACGGCAACACUUCAGCCUUUUAAUACAUUUUGCUAAGGGUGAAGACGGGUGAGUUGGGUAUCUGGUCACUUGGAUGGGAGAGAGCUGGGGCUCUAGAGCCCAGAUGUAGCCCCCCAUCUCCCUGGAGGCAGCUGCCAUAGACUCAGGGCCAGAAUGAGGCAAACUCACUCACCCAUGGCCUUACAGGGUCAACUGGGGGAAGAUGGGGUUGCCUGGCCCCCAGGGUCUUCCCCAAGCCCUUGAACUCCCUUCACUCCCUGUAAGGGAACAGCGUCUUCCUGCACUUAACCCCAAAGGAAGUCCAACAGCUCGGCUCUCAGGAGACCCAAGGGAGAGUCGUCGAGGUGAAAAGCCCAGCGGCCUAGGCCUACGAGGAGAGGGUCCUGGUGAUGCAGUUGGAGAAGGCAGAGGUGUCUCAUCGAUGAAGGUGGUGAUCUCCUCCCGGAAAAAACCAGGACCUCGUGGGGGUCCCCCACCUGACCCCAGAACCCCACUUUCUAGAAACUGUCGAAGGCUGGCUAAGCCCCCACCUUCAGCCUCUUCCUCGUCCUCCUCAUCCUCUAUCCUGAGUCUCUGUCCCGGGUAUUCUGGAGGACCUCCAAGGGCUCUGCUCUGGGCUGGGAGGAUCCGGAUAUCAUCAGACGAUGACCACUUGUGCAGGAAGGAGCCUGGUGCCCGAGGAGUAGAAAAGACGUUGGUCUCAUCAUGGGAUAACCGGCGGGACAAAGGAACCUGGGGAGAGGAGCAGGGUACCCUGCAGUCCAAAGCCACAGAGUAGUGGUGCAGGGGACCAGAAUGGAGGACUGACUGAGGACCCCUUCCCUGGGACUCUGCUUGGCAUGGACCAAGCUGGGCAGUGUAGGCUUCCAGAGAGGAGCAGAGGCCUGGUGAAAGGCGCAGAAGGAUGCAAGGCUCGGAUGGCCAAGCACGUGAUCAGGCUAGAGGGAGGCUGGAGUAGGCUCCAGCUUAGUCCAGCA
Rattus norvegicus (Norway rat) is the source of this 2077-nucleotide non-coding RNA. The record is from RefSeq and is a predicted model, not a curated record. Lineage: Eukaryota; Metazoa; Chordata; Mammalia; Rodentia; Muridae.